This 30-nucleotide non-coding RNA is filed under the name Rattus norvegicus (Norway rat). Lineage: Eukaryota; Metazoa; Chordata; Mammalia; Rodentia; Muridae. The record is from RNAcentral.
GCCUCAGAAGCUCUCCUUAGGAAAGCAGGG